Molecule: small nuclear RNA, 163 nt
Filed under: Castor canadensis (American beaver)
Lineage: Eukaryota; Metazoa; Chordata; Mammalia; Rodentia; Castoridae
Description: U1 spliceosomal RNA (ENSCCNG00000004136.1)
Rfam family: U1 spliceosomal RNA
About the family: U1 is a small nuclear RNA (snRNA) component of the spliceosome (involved in pre-mRNA splicing).
Source: Rfam by way of RNAcentral
AUACUUGCCUGGCAAGGGAGAUACCAUGAUCACAAAGGUGGUUUUCCCGGGGCAGGACUUAUCAAUGCACUUCCAAUGUGCUGACCCCUGUGAUUUCCCCAAUUGUGGGAAACUCUGCUGCAUCAUUUGUGGUAGUGGGGGACUGUGUUCGCACUCUCCCUUG